CUUAAGGCGCCUGUUUCGGCGCUGCCACAGGGUGGCCCCCCAGCAAGGCCCAGAGCAGCCCGUGGCGCCAGUUCUGCGGUUCCACAUCCCUUCCCCAGGGCUGCUCGAGGAUGAGCAAUUCUACAUCCUCGGGGUCAUCCAGAGCUGCCAGGCAGCUGAGCUCAGGGGGCUGCGAACCCUGAAGUGCUCCAAGCAGGAGACGGCCAAAGCCAUUCUGGACAUCUUGGGGCCCUUGGAGCACUUCAGGGAUCGCCCCCUGACCCUGGCCCUUGCCUUGGAGGCCCUCCUCCAGCUGAG
Non-coding RNA from Zootoca vivipara (common lizard), 297 nucleotides. Lineage: Eukaryota; Metazoa; Chordata; Lepidosauria; Squamata; Lacertidae. The record is from RefSeq and is a predicted model, not a curated record.